Molecule: ribosomal RNA, 269 nt
Filed under: uncultured microorganism
Description: partial 16S ribosomal RNA
Rfam family: Bacterial small subunit ribosomal RNA
Source: RNAcentral
GUAGUUGAUCGUGGCUCAGGAUGAACGCUGGCGGCGUGCCUAAUACAUGCAAGUCGAGCGAACAGACGAGGAGCUUGCUCCUCUGACGUUAGCGGCGGACGGGUGAGUAACACGUGGAUAACCUACCUAUAAGACUGGGAUAACUUCGGGAAACCGGAGCUAAUACCGAAUAAUAUAUUGAAACCGCAUGGUUCAAUAGUGAAAAACGGUUUUGCUGUCACUUAUAGAUGGAUCCGCGCCGCAUUAGCUAGUUGGUAGGGUAACGGCUU